This 456-nucleotide ribosomal RNA is filed under the name uncultured bacterium. Its description in RNAcentral is "bacterial SSU rRNA". It matches the Rfam family "Bacterial small subunit ribosomal RNA", at positions 340 to 786 of the family's 1533-position model. The record is from RNAcentral.
UACGGGAGGCAGCAGUGGGGAAUAUUGCACAAUGGGCGCAAGCCUGAUGCAGCCAUGCCGCGUGUAUGAAAAAGGCCUUUCGGGUUGUAAAGUACUUUCAGUCGUGAGGAAGGUGUUAAGGUUAAUAACCUUAGCAAUUGACGUUAGCGACAGAAGAAGCACCGGCUAACUCCGUGCCAGCAGCCGCGGUAAUACGGAGGGUGCGAGCGUUAAUCGGAAUUACUGGGCGUAAAGGGCACGCAGGCGGUUAAUUAAGUUGGAUGUGAAAUCCCCGGGCUUAACCUGGGAAUGGCAUUCAAGACUGGUUAGCUAGAGUCUUGUAGAGGGGGUAGAAUUCCAUGUGUAGCGGUGAAAUGCGUAGAGAUGUGGAGGAAUACCGGUGGCGAAAGGCGGCCCCCUGGACAAAGACUGACGCUCAUGUGCGAAAGCGUGGGGAGCAAACAGGGAUUAGAUACC